CAGGACUUUAACAACUCGAUACAGUCUGAUAUCACGUUUCUGUAUGUAUGUGAGAGAAUUAACUACGUGUUAUUACCCUGGGGUGAUUCAAGAUGGAGCUAUCUUGCCUACUUGGCAGGGGUUUCAAUAAAAGCCGGUUACCAGCAGUCUAUUGCCACCUGUAGGACCUCUUACCACCGUCUGUUUGGAUUUCAUUACUGAAAAUAAAAAUGAUAUUAAUA
Molecule: long non-coding RNA, 221 nt
Organism: Orbicella faveolata
Lineage: Eukaryota; Metazoa; Cnidaria; Anthozoa; Scleractinia; Merulinidae
Source: RefSeq, a predicted model, not a curated record